GAGCCAGCACCAGUCUCAUCCAAUGGAAAAGUGACUGUCUUUUAUGACAAAGAGAUCCCAGCAGGAAGACAUAUCGAAGGAGGUGCAAUAAAACCUGAUAUUUUCACCUGGAAUGAGCAAGAAAGAAGCCAAGAUUAUUAAUGUAACCGUCCCCAAUGACUAUGGCCUGAAUAGGGCUGAAAGGGGAAAGAUCACAAAAAAUGACCUACGAACAACAUGAUCAUUGAAAGAAAUAGAAAUAGUUGUGUUGGGGGCAACAAGGUUUAUGAAGAAGAACCUGAAGAAAUACGUUGAGGUAAUUCGUGGUCACCCAAGUGCCCAUGAGGUGCAGUUAUCAGCAAUUAAGGGAACAGUCACCAUCUUCAAGAGAUCACUUGUACAGAAUGCCACCAAUGUUUAGGGUGCAACUAUAGACCCUGGGUCUGGGGCCCAUAGCAUUCUUUUAAAAAGAAAUCCAACAGAAAUGA
Molecule: long non-coding RNA, 467 nt
Organism: Thalassophryne amazonica
Lineage: Eukaryota; Metazoa; Chordata; Actinopteri; Batrachoidiformes; Batrachoididae
Exons: 2
Source: RefSeq, a predicted model, not a curated record